GACGAACGCUGGCGGCGUGCCUAAUACAUGCAAGUAGAACGCAGUUGCGAACGGGUGAGUAACGCGCAGGUAACCGCCUCAUAGCGGGGGAUAACCAUUGGAAAAGAUAGCUAAUUCCCCCUACAGUGAGAUGGACCUGCGUUGUAUUAGCUAGUUGGUGUGGUAAAGGCUCACCAAGGCGACGAUACAUAGCCGACCUGAGAGGGUGAUCGGCCACGCUUGGAAUAAGAAACGGCCCAGACGCCUACGGGAGGCAGCAGUAGGGAAUCUUCGGACAGGGACGGAAGUCGGACCGAGCAACGCCACGUGAGUGAAGAAGGUUUUCGGAUCAUAAAGCUCUGUUGUUAGAGAAGCGGUAAAUAACCAGGAAGGGACGGCUAGCUGCGUGCCAGCAGCCGCGGUAAUAC
RNAcentral lists this ribosomal RNA (407 nucleotides) under uncultured bacterium. RNAcentral's name for it is "partial 16S ribosomal RNA". It matches the Rfam family "Bacterial small subunit ribosomal RNA", at positions 28 to 526 of the family's 1533-position model. The record is from RNAcentral.